Molecule: ribosomal RNA, 450 nt
Filed under: Streptomyces sp. HVXM-4-2
Lineage: Bacteria; Bacillati; Actinomycetota; Actinomycetes; Kitasatosporales; Streptomycetaceae
Description: bacterial SSU rRNA
Rfam family: Bacterial small subunit ribosomal RNA
Source: RNAcentral
GUCGAACGAUGAACCACUUCGGUGGGGAUUAGUGGCGAACGGGUGAGUAACACGUGGGCAAUCUGCCCUGCACUCUGGGACAAGCCCUGGAAACGGGGUCUAAUACCGGAUACUGAUCUACUUGGGCAUCCAAGUGGUUCGAAAGCUCCGGCGGUGCAGGAUGAGCCCGCGGCCUAUCAGCUUGUUGGUGAGGUAACGGCUCACCAAGGCGACGACGGGUAGCCGGCCUGAGAGGGCGACCGGCCACACUGGGACUGAGACACGGCCCAGACUCCUACGGGAGGCAGCAGUGGGGAAUAUUGCACAAUGGGCGAAAGCCUGAUGCAGCGACGCCGCGUGAGGGAUGACGGCCUUCGGGUUGUAAACCUCUUUCAGCAGGGAAGAAGCGAAAGUGACGGUACCUGCAGAAGAAGCGCCGGCUAACUACGUGCCAGCAGCCGCGGUAAUUCA